Carassius auratus (goldfish) is the source of this 6413-nucleotide long non-coding RNA. RefSeq lists it as uncharacterized. NCBI's taxonomy places the organism in Eukaryota, Metazoa, Chordata, Actinopteri, Cypriniformes, Cyprinidae. The transcript has 2 exons. The record is from RefSeq and is a predicted model, not a curated record.
GGAGAGCUAACGUGCUACAUUAGAGGUGGGGAAUAAAUAUUCCAAUUCCAGCCCAAAGUGUCUUUAUUUUGACUCAAAUGUGAGAUAUGCCGUUGCCAUGGUGACAUGGUGCAGGCUUCAGCCCUCUCCCCAGCUGUUGAGAGGUUUUGUCUGUGUGUGUGUGUGUGUGCGUGUGUGUUUGUGCAAGCCCAAGCGCGCACAUUGAAGCCCCGCUCUCGUGCUGUGUUCCCCUUUCAGCCGCCAGAAUAGAGUCUCAACUAAUCCGUGAAAGUUGCGGUGCUCUGAACCGCCAGCCAAGCCUUUUCCCACUGAAUUGAGGGCCGGGGGUCUGCACUGGGCUUUACACUUGAUUGGUCUUCGCUGUGGCAAGACUCCCCUCCCUGCUGGGUGUGGGCCCGUCCCCCUCGCUGUGCUGCUCGGGUCUAGGCUAAUCGGCUUCUCCCCGCCGUAAUUACCCACACCCGGCCUGGGCAUGCUGAAACCACCAGUAGUCUUUCUGUCUCUUUCUUCUUCCCAGUCCCUCACCAGUAUUGGCACAUUAGACCACAGACUGGCGUCAGUGCCAAUGCCGGCUCAAGUCUGUGGCACCGGGUGCUGGGCAAGGGGACAGUAAGCUAGCGAGAAGGUGGCCUCACAACUGUCCUCCUCUACAUGCACAAUCCGAGGAUGAUGGGUUUAUUUGGCACAGCUAAUCAGGUAAUAGUUUGUCUUACAGAAACGAGUGAAAGCGUCUCGGUUGGUAUGGUCCACAGGAAUAGAUCGGAGGUGUCUGGUUUCAUAGCAUCUAUCAAUUCGGAAGGCAUUCACAGGCCGCAAUCCCAGUGUAGCACACUUUUGGCACAACAGUAGUAAAAAACGCAAACACCGUGACUGAGAAUAUUCUUUGUGCCCCAGAUUUACCGCAAGAUGAAACAGGUCCUCAGAGAAAGUCUUCAUUUCCAUUCAGCUGGAAAAUAAGUGAGCCAUAUCAAUAUUGAGGUGGCCCUCUUAAGAUGCACCGUCACAUUUCCAGAGCUCUGUAAGGGCAAAGGAGAAGACAGUUCACAAAGAUUACAGAGCAGUGCAGAGGAUCUAGAGCGUUUUGUGGGGAGCGAGGGAACCAAGAAGACAAGGGGUGUUUAUUGGACCCCCAUUUGCUGCGAACAUCUUAUUAUGGAGAUUUUUUGUCCCUCCAAAUCAGUCGGCAGUCACUCUCACAAAUCCUAAGACCCUUGCUCAGUCAGAGCAGAUCAAAAGAUAACUCACAUUUCAAAAUACGGAAGGGGGGGAAAAAGAGCAAGAAGAAAGGACAACAGAGAAAAGAAGAGAGCCAGAAGGGGGCAUACUGCUCUCUCUUUACAUAGGCGAAUAAGGCGUUUGAAGCAUGCCAUGUGUGCCUCCUUCAUUCUGUCCUAUUGCACAACCCAAAUUUUUCUAAAAAAAAAAAAAAAGCAGCCAUUGUUGUUUUUAGUUUUAUUUCUCAGGGCAAAUUAAAUUUUCAACUUCACAUCAUAAACGAACCCAGAAAAAAAAAAAUCAGUACUUAAUGGUCCAUUCAUUGCAGGGGUAAAAUGAAAGGCCUGGAAUCUGGCUUCUAGGAAGUAUCGAGACCCCCUUGAAGCUGGAAUGAAAAGUGUAAGUUUAGCCUCUCAGCUGUGUGUCUCAAUCCAUAAUCCUGCCCCAAAACCCCAGCGGAGAGCAGCCUGACACUCCCAUGGCGUUCCUGACCAGUGAAGGCCUGGCCUGUGCAGAUUUAUGGAGUACAGCUCCGUGCCUUACACUCCUAGUUGGGCUGAGACUUUGAGUCAGACUGCUAGAAGUUGCACAAGAUUAAGAAGAAAAUAGAUCUGGUCCAGCAAGCUCCAAGCUACACAUCAUAAACCGUCAUUAUGCAGGAGGUGUAUAAAGAACAUGAAUAAGGCCGGAGUCGCCGCACAAACAUAGAUGAAGCGCAUCACCUUUCGCCAGCAUGGCACAGGUAAGCCUGGCCCCGACCGAGCUGCUGGACCAGGGGUCAGGCUUGUGGCCCAGCAUGCAACUGCUCUCGGUCACAUCGGGUCCUCACACCCCAGAGAUGAGCUUGCAGACGGACGUCGUCUGAGACCUUUGAUGUGCGGCUACGAAAGUUUCUGUUACUGUGCUUUUAAUUAGGUCCAGCAGCUGCCUCUUCCUGGUCCGAAACUCCACUAUCUGCCUAAUAUCUUGCAUGUGGCCACCACAAACACAACAAAAUCAGCCACCACUCUCAGGUGCGGGAUGUUCAGGGAGGAGCCGCCGCAUCAUGCUUCCCUCUGUUUGGCACAAACAAGUCUGAUGCAGAGCUAACACAGCCCAGUUGCAGUGAGACAUGGUUAAGAUUCACAGUUCUAUCACUACGACCAGCAUGUUCCCAGCUUACAGCCAAGCGGGUGUGAAAUUAUGCAAAUAUAUGCUUCCCGUCUAUCAUCUUUUGGCAAAUUUGAUGGCCCAAUUUCUUAAACAUUAUCCUUUAAUGAUUUAUUAGCAGGUUUGAGUGUGGUCAAAUGUUGAGGCAAACUUUCACAAUGGCACGAGAUGUGCUUCUCUGGUUUUCCUGAAGGAAAGAUUUGGUUAAGUUAAGCUCAGUCUACGAAAAUAAAAAAUAAAAAUUGUUACAAGUUAUGCACUCACAGUACAACUAAAGUGAAUAGGGCUAAUUUGUAAACAUGAAAAUAUGCAUUGCUUUAACAGACAUCAACAAUAUGCAUGAUAAUUUAAAAACACUUAUACACUAAAACACUAAAUUAUAUCCUAUUUUACAACUUUAUUCCCACAACAAAAUAAAACCAUAAAACAACUUUUAAAAAGUAUGAUUUGAAUAGUUUUACAGCUAAAAUAAUAAACAAGUUUUAACUGAACUAUAAUUUUAAGUGCUUUUAUAGAACUAUAAGCUUUCCAUUUGUGCUUUUAAAUGCUUCAAAAAUUGGCCCAAUCGCUUCCAUUGUAAGUGCUUUGCCACAAACUCCAUUUUUGCUUUUUUAAAAGUCCUAAUUAUUUUUCAUUUUAAUCAGCAUUGCCAGACAAAUGCAGUCACCUGAGAUUCUCAAGCAAAAUCGUUGUGCUUGUAGCUUAAAAUUCAUCUAACAUCCAUCUGUCUUUGUCACUCCCAAGUUACUAGACUGCUGGACUGAACUUGACUAAAGAUGAAAUAUGGGAGACUGGUUAGGCAUACUAAUACCCUGGAUUCAUUAAAUUAAUAGGGGUCUUAUUCCCCUUACCAUGGGUUCACAGAUGCCCUUUGAGUUUGCCGGGGCUAGAGGGUGCGCAGCACUUUGAAAGCCCUUACCGGCAUAUCGAGCGCAUUUUAAUACAGUCCUUUUGAGGCUCCUGGUAGGAUGCAGAGUAACUCCUCGCCUUUAAGUUCCCGCAACUCUCCAUGUGAUCUCGUCAGAUAGCCACGGCUGUGUCAGAUCAGGCCCAGGCUGCACAUACACUAGGGGGAUGGGGAGGGCCAUGCAAGGCAAAUUAGACCAGCGGUGUUCGUUUCUAUGUAGAGGCCAUUCUUUCCCAAACACGUGAGUCCUUGAGAAGCAAGCGCUCAGGAGUGCUUUGAUGUGGAAAGGUGCCCAGUUUAAGGCUCUGAAACAGGAGGCUUUGGGAGAGAUUCAGUAGGAUUCCCUUCGGUGAUCAGCAGGGGAGGCUGCCCUCUCGUUGGUCAACUGUGUACACUGUACAGAUUUAAUUACACCAAGAAUGAAGUGCGUGGUCCAAAGAAAUCCUUGAUGCUGCCCAUUAUGACUGUCAUAGCAUAUUCCAAACCAUCAAGCCACAAUAAGAGCCGAGCUUGAUGAUCACAGCCCGAAAAAUCAAAGAGGCUUCAGAAAACAACAACAAAAGGAAAUGCUAUGAAUGUUCUGGGAAAACAAUAUUGUUUUCCACUGCAGUUGCGCCUUUGCUAAUCUUUCAAAUUUUAAAAUGCACAGGAUCGGCACAAGGACAAAUAGCAAAGUGUUUCAAUGACAGCACAACACGUAUUCUACUUGUUUCGGUCUAUGAGCUUCAGAAAUAGGUUUAAUUAACAGACACAAAAUAUAACGGCAUGCCAGUAUCACUCUUAACACAACAAUAAUACUUUUUUAAAAGACUGAUUCAUAGAAACAUGAGGAUUUUACAUCACUUGGUUCUAUGUUACUGUGUGCAAUGGCUGGAUUCUCCAACAUAAUCCAGUCAAGGUAAAUUAAAUAAAACAACCAGUAGUUGUUAACAAGGUUGUCGCUGUCACUGAAAAUGGCAUCUUGUAUUUGUUUACAGGCCAGCUAAGGGAUUUUGAAGCAAUGUUGUUUGCAGCUGCAAAGAUUGUGGCUUGGUUAGAAACCAGGCACACACCCCACCCCGACCACAGCGUUUUGAAAAGGGCUUUUUCCCUUUGGUCUUUGCACAGUGGUGUGGCAACUAUGGCUCACAGGUGGGAGCCUGCCUCUACCAAAUAAGCUUCCUCACUAAGGACGGGAUUUGGCGCUGUUAUUUUUCUAUUAGGGCGGAAUAAUGUUAAGCCUUCAGAGGCCAUCUUUCUGUUGCUAUGGCAGCCCAUGUUUCAUGCAGGUUUGAGACCCUGAGUGACUAGAGUGCAAAGCCAAAUACCACAGAGCCUGUGUGGAUCAGAAAUAUGGCCUUACAAUUAUGGAAAACAGCUCGAAUCUGACUGGACCUGUCUAAGACUGAGUGACAAGUUUAUUGAGAUCUCUUUUUUUUUUUUCAAUUCAUCAUGUCAGUAACGAAUUCAAAUAUCACUUGUCACAUCUCCAAGUGCACGUCUCCACGCCCAUCUGUUGGUUUAUACACCAGUUGGAAUUGAAAUUUCUCUCUCUUUGGCCAAAAUGUUAACAGUCUUUUUGAGAACAACACAGCCGCUAAUUUACAGAUAUUUACAGAUGAGGCGCGUACUUUCCUAAUAAGAGCAAAAGCCACAUUAUAACCAAGUAAACCCACUCCUUACAAGCACACAAGGAAGAAUGAAAUACUUUAAGAGACAUUUCCGGUUACUUACCUUGACUGUUUGAGAAAGACAGGAAAGGAGAUGUGAACAACAAAGCGUGCCUGCAUUACCUCACACCAACAACAGGAAAUGAACCAAACUGUUUUUAAAAAUUAAUUAAUAGAAGCAUAUUUCAGCGUCAGCAGAGUGAUCAAAGUUAAUCUUAUUUUUUAUUUGAUUAGAAGACAACAAUAAUAGUUUAAAAUAUAAAAAUAAUGACUGCAUGUGCAACGAAAGUACAUUUUAGAACGCAAUAAUAACGUUUUGUAAAUCAGUGAUUUUUUGUGCUGGGUGUCUCAACAUUUACUUAUAAUAAUAACUAAAGUAGUUCCAGAAUGUUCAACAUAUCUCUAAAAUUUGUGGAAAAUAAUGUCGAGUAGUGUGGUCUGCUACACUAAUAGGAUAUGGGUGCUUUAAAUGUUAGGUUAAAACUAAUUUAAUUAAAAAAAUAAUUAUCCUGCCUUCAGAAUAAUUAUUUUGGUACCUCCAUCGCCAUCCCACAGCCAGAAUGUCAUUCUAAAUACUUUAAGCAAAAAUAUUUUUGCAAAUGAAAUGGAAAAAAUAAUAAAUAAAACCACAUAAAACAUAGGAGAAUAGCUUACAAUCAACUUUUAUAACAACUUACAUAACUUAAAAUACAAUUUGUGUUUUAAAAUAUAAAAAAAAUACAGAAGGAUAACAGAUACCAAUACAUAAUAGAAUAACAUAGGAAAUCAUCACUUACAUUGUGUGUGUGUGUGUGUGUGUGUGUGUGUACUUGGUGUUCCUGUUUUUCAUAGAAGCCACUGUGUGUUUGUUAUAAUUUUUCUCGCAAAUGUGGCCUAUGCAAUCAUAUUUUGUGAGUCCUGUAAAAGUUCCUGUAAAGUUACCCUCAUUGUAGCCAUGAUACUUCUAUUCAUUUUUUAAAAAUAUUUAUUGAUUUAUUGAUUUAUUCACAUGAAUAGUUUGUUUAGGCUAUAUAAAAUUCAACAUAAUAGCCCGCCGAUUCAGAUACCGGUUCUGUCGUUUAACAUCUAUUAAUUAACAUGAUUGCACAUCAAAUAAUAAACAUAAGAACCUUAAAUUAAUUGCUUUUUUCUUUCCUAAAUCCAUUAUAUUUUCACACAGUCUUAACAUCCACUGUCACUUCAGGAGGGUGGUGCUCAUGACAGUCAUCUCACCCUCUGUGUAGUUCAUUUCUAAUUGGUGAUGCCACAGUUCACUCCCUCCCCAGGAGUUUGUAUGCUUUAGGUGUUAGCUGUUAUAUCAUUUACAAAAUACAUAAAAUUGUUGACAACAUCAUUUACAUUUUAAUUUAACCUUGAUGUAAAAUGUAUUGUGUUUUUUUUUAUGAUUCUUUGAUUCUUUUCGAUCUUUAAAGCAACUGUAUUUUAUCUGUUCUCUACUUUUUUCUCCGCCAACAUGUUUGUUUCCUCUUCCUUGAAACAAAAAUGUCAGUAGU